AUGGCUCAUGCUACUCACCUACUUCCUUUAUUCAUACUGAUACAACUAUACUCGCUAGCCACAUUUUCUCAUGGCCAUGGCCAUGGUAAUACAGCAGCUUCUUCUUUCUGUCAUCCAGACCAGGCUGCGGCACUUCUCCAGUUAAAGCAGUCAUUCAUCUUCGACUACUCCACCACUAUACUGCCAUCAUGGCAGACUGGCACCGGCACGGAUUGUUGCCUCUGGGAGGGUGUCGGCUGUGAUGAUGGCGGCCAUGUCAGUGUUCUCGACCUCAGUGCUCGUGGCCUCUACAGCAAUGGAUGCCAUCCUGCAAUCUUCAACCUCACCUCCCUGCGAUACCUCGACCUUAGCAUGAAUGACUUUGGUGGAACUCGCAUUCCGGCAGCUGGCUUCGAGAGGCUAUCCAGGCUCACCCAUCUCAACCUUUCUCACUCAGGCUUCUAUGGUCAGAUUCCGGUCGCCAUCGGGAAGCUCACAAGCCUCAUAUCAUUGGACCUAUCUACAAGACAUGGUGUUGAUAUUUCCUAUACAACCACGAGUUACUAUACUCUCUUGGGUGGGUAUGACUACCUGCUGCUACAAGAGCCCAGCUUUGAGAUCUUAGUGGCAAACCUCACCAAUAUGAGGGAACUCUACCUUGAUGGAGUGGACAUAACUGCUAGCGCAGAAGAGUGGUGCGUUGUUCUAGGUAAAGCUGUCCCCCAUCUUGAGGUUCUUAGCAUGGUACGUUGCGGUCUUCGUGGUUCAAUUCACUCCUCCAUGUCAAGUCUUCGAUCCCUUACAGUAAUCAACCUCGAGGGUAAUGAUAUUUCUGGUGUGGUUCCUGAAUUCUUCUCAGACUUUCUCAAUUUAAGUGUUCUUCAGCUGAAGUAUAACAGUUUCAGUGGCUGGUUUCCUCUGACAAUCUUUCAACUCAAGAAUAUAAGAGUGCUUGAUGUGUCUCGCAACCGUCAACUCACAGGACAUUUACCAGAAUUUCCAAAUGGGUCUUCUUUCGAGACUUUGAACCUACUGUCUACUAAUUUCUCUGGUAUGAAGAUGACCUCAUUUAGCAACAUCUUAUAUCUGAGGGAGAUAGGUUUUGAUGCAAGGUCAAUUUUUGUGGAGCCUGCAGAUUUAAUGUUCAAAAAGCUCAACUCUUUGCAACACUUGCAGCUCUCUUUUGCACAAUUUUCAGGGGAAUUAAGGCCAUUUUUCUUGUGGAUUAGUAGCCUUAAGAACUUGACAAGCUUAGGGCUCUCAUAUUAUUUUUGUGAGUUAGGGCCAUUUUUAUCAUAUAUUAGUAGCCUCAAGAACUUGGCAAGCUUACGACUCUCCUAUUUCUCUUCAUUCAAGAUAAUGCCAAACAUGAUUGGCAACCUCACCAACUUGUCAACUUUGGAAAUAACUUUUGGCUUCACUGGGCAAAUACCACCAUCAAUUGGCAACCUCAACAAGUUAACUUCCUUGACAAUCUCUGAUUGUGGCUUCUCUGGGGCAAUACCAUCUUCGAUCGGCAAUCUCACUAAACUAAGAAGCUUGGACAUCCGUUGGAGUGGUCUAUCAGCAAUGUUGUCGUUGGAUCUUGCAUCAAACCAACUUUCUGGACCGAUAAAAGAAUUUGGGGGACUAAAAGAUCUAGUGUCACUGGAUCUUAGCUCAAACAACUUAACAAGUUUAGUACAUCUGAGUUCCCUUUGGAAAUUAAGAAAGCUUGUUCACUUGGUUCUAUCAAACAACAGGUUGUCUGUUUUGGAUGGAGAAGGCAGUAAACCCAUGGUACCAUUACUUCCUAAACUAGUGAUACUAGGGCUUGCGUCUUGCAACAUGACAAGAAUUCCUAGAUUGUUGAUGCAUGUAAAUCAUAUCAAAAUGUUAGACCUUUCGAGCAACAAUAUACAUGGGACUAUACCCAAAUGGAUAUGGCAAAGAUGGGAUGACAGUCUUACAAGUUUAAAUCUUUCACACAACAUAUUUACAUAUAUGCAACUCACUUCAUAUGUUCUCCCAUACAAUCAUUUGGUAUCUCUUGAUCUAAGUUCCAAUAGGCUUCAAGGCCAGAUACCAAUGCCAAACCUGUUGACAACAACUAACUUUUACCCUCAAUUCUUGGAUUAUUCAAAUAACAGAUUCUCUUCUGUUAUGUCUAACUUCACCGCUUAUCUUCGCCGAACUGGCUAUCUCAAAUUGUCACGAAAUGACAUAAGUGGGCAUAUACCCCAUUCAGUUUGUGACUUAAGCAACCUUGAAGUCCUUGACCUUUCAUAUAACAACUUCAGUGGCAUAAUACCAUCUUGUCUGGUAAAAGAGAGCAAUUUGUGUGUAUUAAAUUUGAGGGAAAAUCACCUAGAGGGAACAUUGCCUUACCAUGUUAGUAAGCACUGUAAUCUGAAGACAAUAGAUUUACAUGGCAAUAAAAUUCAAGGGCAACUGCCUAGGUCUCUUUCCAACUGCGCUGCGUUGGAGGUUCUAGACAUUGGAAACAAUCAUAUGGUUGAUACUUUCCCAUCUUGGUUGGGUAGGCUCUCUGAUCUUCGUAUCAUCGUUCUGGGAUCCAACCUGUUCUAUGGCUCGCUUACUUAUCCUACCAGAGAUAGAAAAUCCAGGGAAUACUUCCCAAAGUUACAAAUAAUUGAUAUAGCUUCAAAUAAUUUCUCUGGCAAUUUGGAUCCACAAUGGUUUGAGAGGUUCGCAUCUAUGAUGGCAAAAUUCAAUGACACGGGACAUAUCUUAAGGCAUCGGACAUAUUACAGAGACUACCAUAAUACUGUUGCAAUCACAUACAAAGGGCAAUAUGCGACUUUUGAAGAAGUCUUCACUACCUUAACCGCAAUUGACUUCUCAAAUAAUGCAUUGGAGGGUGACAUUCCCGAAUCAGUUGGAAGUCUAGUUUCACUACAUAUAUUGAACAUGUCACAUAAUGCAUUUACAGGAAGAAUUCCACCACAAAUUGGUGAGAUGCGUCAAUUGGAAUCACUAGACCUAUCAUGGAACAGGCUUUCUGGGAACAUUCCACAAGAGCUAACAAAUUUAACAUUUCUUGGCACCCUAAACUUGUGUGGAAAUAGGCUGGAUGGAAGGAUACCACAGUCACGUCAAUUUGCAACAUUUGAGAACACUUCAUAUGAAGGGAAUGCAGGGCUGUGUGGACCACCUUUGUCCAAACCAUGUGGCAAUUCAAGUAACCCAAAUGAGGCACAAGUAAGCAUAUCCAAAGAUCAUGUUGACAUUAUUUUGUUUCUCUUUGUUGGAGUGGGCUUUGGCGUUGGAUUCACAGCAGGUAUUCUGCUGAAAUGGGGUAAAAUCGGCAAAUGGUUCCGAAUUGUGUGA
This 3309-nucleotide ribosomal RNA is filed under the name Triticum aestivum (bread wheat). RNAcentral's name for it is "partial small subunit ribosomal RNA". Lineage: Eukaryota; Viridiplantae; Streptophyta; Magnoliopsida; Poales; Poaceae. The record is from RNAcentral.